This 254-nucleotide ribosomal RNA is filed under the name uncultured bacterium. RNAcentral describes it as "partial 16S ribosomal RNA". It matches the Rfam family "Bacterial small subunit ribosomal RNA", at positions 524 to 776 of the family's 1533-position model. The record is from RNAcentral.
UACGGGGGGAGCAAGCGUUGUUCGGAUUUACUGGGCGUAAAGGGCGCGUAGGCGGUCGUGACAAGUCACUUGUGAAAUCUCCGGGCUUAACUCGGAAAGGUCAAGUGAUACUGUCGGACUAGAGUACAGAAGGGGCAACUGGAAUUCUCGGUGUAGCGGUGAAAUGCGUAGAUAUCGAGAGGAACACCUGCGGCGAAGGCGGGUUGCUGGGCUGAUACUGACGCUGAGGUGCGAAAGCGUGGGGAGCAAACAGG